RNAcentral lists this transfer RNA (73 nucleotides) under Blaesodactylus boivini. Its description in RNAcentral is "tRNA-Asn". The record is from RNAcentral. Lineage: Eukaryota; Metazoa; Chordata; Lepidosauria; Squamata; Gekkonidae.
UAGAUUGAGGCUCGCUGGAUAGAGUGUUUAGUUGUUAACUAAGUUUUUGCGGGAUCGAGGCCCGUCGGUCUAG